Molecule: long non-coding RNA, 232 nt
Filed under: Daucus carota (carrot)
Lineage: Eukaryota; Viridiplantae; Streptophyta; Magnoliopsida; Apiales; Apiaceae
Description: long non-coding RNA (DCAR_LNC006820)
Source: RNAcentral
AUCCCUAGCAGCAUCAUUAAGUUGAUGGAGCUUGUUGAGAAUUGUUGGAAACGUGUAUGGGCCUUAAACCAAAAACUUCGAUAAUAUUAAGAUGCAAACAAACAACUUGUAUAUUAAUGUAACACGCAGCUACAAUACUUAUAAUUUUGCUACACACACUAGGCUUCAGCCUUACUUUUCUCUCAAAAGCUUCGGCUCAUAUAAUUUCUCUCUACAACUGCUGUUGUAGUUU